AGUGAACGCUGGCGGUAGGCCUAACACAUGCAAGUCGAACGGCAGCACAGUAAGAGCUUGCUCUUACGGGUGGCGAGUGGCGGACGGGUGAGGAAUACAUCGGAAUCUACUUUUUCGUGGGGGAUAACGUAGGGAAACUUACGCUAAUACCGCAUACGACCUACGGGUGAAAGCAGGGGAUCUUCGGACCUUGCGCGAUUGAAUGAGCCGAUGUCGGAUUAGCUAGUUGGCGGGAUAAAGGCCCACCAAGGCGACGAUCCGUAGCUGGUCUGAGAGGAUGAUCAGCCACACUGGAACUGAGACACGGUCCAGACUCCUACGGGAGGCAGCAGUGGGGAAUAUUGGACAAUGGGCGCAAGCCUGAUCCAGCCAUACCGCGUGGGUAAAGAAGGCCUUCGGGUUGUAAAGCCCUUUUGUUGGGAAAGAAAAGCAGCAGGUUAAUACCCCGCUGUUCUGACGGUACCCAAAGAAUAAGCACCGGCUAACUUCGUG
RNAcentral lists this ribosomal RNA (492 nucleotides) under uncultured bacterium. Its description in RNAcentral is "partial 16S ribosomal RNA". It matches the Rfam family "Bacterial small subunit ribosomal RNA", at positions 29 to 507 of the family's 1533-position model. The record is from RNAcentral.